Molecule: ribosomal RNA, 473 nt
Filed under: uncultured bacterium
Lineage: Bacteria
Description: bacterial SSU rRNA
Rfam family: Bacterial small subunit ribosomal RNA
Source: RNAcentral
UGGGGAAUCUUGGACAAUGGGCGCAAGCCUGAUCCAGCCAUGCCGCGUGGAUGAUGAAGGCCUUAGGGUUGUAAAGCUCUUUUCGGACGGAACGAAAUGGUUACGGAUAAUACCUGUGACUGAUGACGGUACUGUAAGAAGAAGCACCGGCUAACUACGUGCCAGCAGCCGCGGUAAUACGUAGGGUGCGAGCGUUAAUCGGAAUUACUGGGCGUAAAGCGUGCGCAGGCGGUUCGCCAAGUCAGGUGUGAAAUCCCCGGGCUUAACCUGGGAAUUGCGCUUGAAACUAGCGGGCUUGAGUGUGGCAGAGGGGGGUGGAAUUCCACGUGUAGCAGUGAAAUGCGUAGAGAUGUGGAGGAACACCGAUGGCGAAGGCAGCCCCCUGGGUCAACACUGACGCUCAUGCACGAAAGCGUGGGGAGCAAACAGGAUUAGAUACCCCCGUAGUCCCUGAGCGGGCUGGCAAGGCGCAU